GAUGAACGCUGGCGGCGUGCCUAAUACAUGCAAGUCGAGCGAACAGACGAGGAGCUUGCUCCUCUGAUGUUAGCGGCGGACGGGUGAGUAACACGUGGAUAACCUACCUAUAAGACUGGGAUAACUUCGGGAAACCGGAGCUAAUACCGGAUAACAUGUUGAACCGCAUGGUUCAACAGUGAAAGACGGUUUUGCUGUCACUUAUAGAUGGAUCCGCGUCGCAUUAGCUAGUUGGUAGGGUAACGGCUUACCAAGGCAACGAUGCGUAGCCGACCUGAGAGGGUGAUCGGCCACACUGGAACUGAGACACGGUCCAGACUCCUACGGGAGGCAGCAGUAGGGAAUCUUCCGCAAUGGGCGAAAGCCUGACGGAGCAACGCCGCGUGAGUGAAGAAGGUCUUCGGAUCGUAAAACUCUGUUAUUAGGGAAGAACAAAUGUGUAAGUAACUAUGCACGUCUUGACGGUACCUAAUCAGAAAGCCACGGCUAACUACGUG
Molecule: ribosomal RNA, 497 nt
Filed under: uncultured bacterium
Lineage: Bacteria
Description: partial 16S ribosomal RNA
Rfam family: Bacterial small subunit ribosomal RNA
Source: RNAcentral